ACCCGUCGGGAGAGCCUCGGGCCGGGGGGGCGGAGGCCCCUCGGUCUCCCUGUCGGUCCCCCGGCUCUCUCUGGGCUUCCGGGGGCACGGGAAAGAGACUUCCGACGCCUGAGCUGGAGUGCUGGAGCAGGAUGCCCAGAGCCUUCUCGUAAUGCUCCAUGGCCAGCGGCAACUCCUCCUUCCGCUUGGCCAAGAAGCCCAGCAGCCGCCAGCCCUGCCAGGAGGCCGGCUUCUGCUCUCCCUGGGGCCGAAACUCUGGGGCUUGGAAUCAUUUUCGAUUCCACCCGUUUCCAUCUUCCGCCUUCCAGAUAAUGGUGGAUGGCGACGUCCUCCUGGCCCCGGAAAAUCUCCUGGAAGCCCCGGGCGCGGGGGCGUUUCUCCGCCCGAGUCCCGGGAGGCGCCUUCUGGGGGCGCGGCCUUGUCCGCUGGCCGGCGGGGGACGGAAGCCAGGCGGGUCAUUUGGGGGCAACCGCUCUGCCCCCGGCCCCCAGGACUCCAGGGCCCGCUUCCUCAGCUCCUGCACCUUCUCGCGGGUCCCCGCGUCCCGGGGCUGCUGCAGGAGCUGGUGGCCAAGUGCGGAGAGCAGCCCGUCUGGUGGAGCACUGCUGGGGGCCCGCCCCGCCCUCCCGAGGCCCAGGGCCUCCCCGCCCGCGUUCGGUGGGAAUUGGCGGGCCGCGGGCCGUAACGCGGGGCCCCAAACUUCCUCCACGAGUUUCGCCCCCCCUCCUCUCUUUUCUGGUUUCAGGGCCAGGACCCCGGGAGCGUUGCCGGGAUCCCGCGCCAGGGCCUGCCUCAGGGCUGGGGGCGGAACCCAGGGCCCGGCGGGCCUCCCCGGACAAGGCGGGAGGCCCGGCCACCUGCAGCCAGGCCGCCCGGCCCCCCCGGCCCCCUCGGCAGGCCUUGGCGGCGCCCGCGUCCCCCGCCCCUGCAGCCUGGCCCAGCCCUCCUCGCAGUCCAUCUCCGGACAGUCGAUUCUGUAGGGGCUGCCCAGCCUCCGCCGCGCCCACCUUGUCCAUGGCCGGGGACCCCCCGGCCCAGCGGGGUAGAGCCAGGCGUGCUGCCCCCGGGAAGGUUCGGGCGUGGCCCGGCCCGGGUCUCCCGCUCGUCGCCCUCCGGCCGCCGGGGGCCCAGGGCCUCCUCCGGCGCCUGCGGUGCCCGGUGGCCCGGGGUUGUGGGCGGCGCCCGCUCUGCGGCCGGGGCCCAGCCCGUUCCUGACCUGCUCCUCCAGGUUCUCG
Molecule: long non-coding RNA, 1235 nt
Filed under: Sarcophilus harrisii (Tasmanian devil)
Lineage: Eukaryota; Metazoa; Chordata; Mammalia; Dasyuromorphia; Dasyuridae
Description: lncRNA (ENSSHAG00000029374.1)
Source: RNAcentral